RNAcentral lists this ribosomal RNA (497 nucleotides) under uncultured bacterium. RNAcentral describes it as "partial 16S ribosomal RNA". It matches the Rfam family "Bacterial small subunit ribosomal RNA", at positions 28 to 507 of the family's 1533-position model. The record is from RNAcentral.
GAUGAACGCUGGCGGCGUGCCUAAUACAUGCAAGUCGAGCGAACAGACGAGGAGCUUGCUCCUCUGACGUUAGCGGCGGACGGGUGAGUAACACGUGGAUAACCUACCUAUAAGACUGGGAUAACUUCGGGAAACCGGAGCUAAUACCGGAUAAUAUAUUGAACCGCAUGGUUCAAUAGUGAAAGACGGUUUUGCUGUCACUUAUAGAUGGAUCCGCGCCGCAUUAGCUAGUUGGUAAGGUAACGGCUCACCAAGGCAACGAUGCGUAGCCGACCUGAGAGGGUGAUCGGCCACACUGGAACUGAGACACGGUCCAGACUCCUACGGGAGGCAGCAGUAGGGAAUCUUCCGCAAUGGGCGAAAGCCUGACGGAGCAACGCCGCGUGAGUGAUGAAGGUCUUCGGAUCGUAAAACUCUGUUAUUAGGGAAGAACAAAUGUGUAAGUAAAUAUGCACGUCUUGACGGUACCUAAUCAGAAAGCCACGGCUAACUACGUG